RNAcentral lists this ribosomal RNA (698 nucleotides) under Psychrobacter sp. Its description in RNAcentral is "bacterial SSU rRNA". It matches the Rfam family "Bacterial small subunit ribosomal RNA", at positions 756 to 1452 of the family's 1533-position model. Lineage: Bacteria; Pseudomonadati; Pseudomonadota; Gammaproteobacteria; Moraxellales; Moraxellaceae. The record is from RNAcentral.
AAAGCGUGGGUAGCAAACAGGAUUAGAUACCCUGGUAGUCCACGCCGUAAACGAUGUCUACUAGUCGUUGGGGAACNUGAUUCNUUAGUGACGCAGCUAACGCAAUAAGUAGACCGCCUGGGGAGUACGGCCGCAAGGUUAAAACUCAAAUGAAUUGNCGGGGGCCCGCACCAGCGGUGGAGCAUGUGGUUUANUUNGAUGCAACGCGAAGAACCUUACCUGGUCUUGACAUAUCUAGAAUCCUGCAGAGAUGCGGGAGUGCCUUCGGGAAUUAGAAUACAGGUGCUGCAUGGCUGUCGUCAGCUNGUGUCGUGAGAUGUUGGGUUAAGUCCCGCAACGAGCGCAACCCUUGUCCUUAGUUACCAGCGGGUUAAGCCGGGAACUCUAAGGAUACUGCCAGUGACAAACUGGAGGAAGGCGGGGACGACGUCAAGUCAUCAUGGCCCUUACGACCAGGGCUACACACGUGCUACAAUGGUAGGUACAGAGGGCAGCUACACAGCGAUGUGAUGCGAAUCUCAAAAAGCCUAUCGUAGUCCAGAUUGGAGUCUGCAACUCGACUCCNUGAAGUAGGAAUCGCUAGUAAUCGCGGAUCAGAAUGCCGCGGUGAAUACGUUCCCGGGCCUUGUACACACCGCCCGUCACACCAUGGGAGUUGAUUGCACCAGAAGUGGUUAGCCGAACCUUUUAGGACGGCG